Molecule: long non-coding RNA, 222 nt
Filed under: Elaeis guineensis (African oil palm)
Lineage: Eukaryota; Viridiplantae; Streptophyta; Magnoliopsida; Arecales; Arecaceae
Description: long non-coding RNA (EGUI_LNC041809)
Source: RNAcentral
AGUAUAGACAAUGGUGUGUGAUCCAACCAAAUAGGGCUUAAAUUUUUUAGGAUAAAGAUAACAACUAGAAACUCCUUUUUAGUGGUAGUGUAAUCAAGCUGUGUAUCAUUUAAGAUUUUGCUCGCAUAAUAAAUAACUUUAGGUAGCUUAUUAAUUAUUUAACCUAAAAUUAUGUCCACAGCAUGAUCGGACACAUCACAAAUGAGUUUAAAAGGUUCAGAC